This 270-nucleotide ribosomal RNA is filed under the name uncultured bacterium. RNAcentral's name for it is "partial 16S ribosomal RNA". It matches the Rfam family "Bacterial small subunit ribosomal RNA", at positions 28 to 290 of the family's 1533-position model. The record is from RNAcentral.
GGUUAACGCUGGCGGCGUGCCUAACACAUGCAAGUCGAACGAGGCUUUCUCUCCCGUAAGGGAGGGGAUGUCCUAGUGGCGAACGGGUGAGUAGCACGUGGGCAACCUACCCUUCUGUGGGGGACAACUCCGGGAAACCGGGGCUAAUACCGCAUGCGGUCACCGAUCGAUUGGUCGGUGCAGAAAGCAGCAAUGCGCAGGAGGAUGGGCCCGCGGCCUAUCAGCUAGUUGGUGGGGUAACGGCCUACCAAGGCGAAGACGGGUAGCUGG